Molecule: ribosomal RNA, 497 nt
Filed under: uncultured bacterium
Lineage: Bacteria
Description: partial 16S ribosomal RNA
Rfam family: Bacterial small subunit ribosomal RNA
Source: RNAcentral
GAUGAACGCUGGCGGCGUGCCUAAUACAUGCAAGUCGAGCGAACAGACGAGGAGCUUGCUCCUCUGACGUUAGCGGCGGACGGGUGAGUAACACGUGGAUAACCUACCUAUAAGACUGGGAUAACUUCGGGAAACCGGAGCUAAUACCGGAUAAUAUAUUGAACCGCAUGGUUCAAUAGUGAAAGACGGUUUUGCUGUCACUUAUAGAUGGAUCCGCCCCGCAUUAGCUAGUUGGUAAGGUAACGGCUUACCAAGGCAACGAUGCGUAGCCGACCUGAGAGGGUGAUCGGCCACACUGGAACUGAGACACGGUCCAGACUCCUACGGGAGGCAGCAGUAGGGAAUCUUCCGCAAUGGGCGAAAGCCUGACGGAGCAACGCCGCGUAAGUGAUGAAGGUCUUCGGAUCGUAAAACUCUGUUAUUAGGGAAGAACAAAUGUGUAAGUAACUAUGCACGUCUUGACGGUACCUAAUCAGAAAGCCACGGCUAACUACGUG